CUUAGUUAGGUGGCUUCCUGGACGUUGUUGUGGUCAAGGAGAGUGCGAGUCGUGAUAUCCACCUGUCGUAAGUGGGUUGAGCGUGCGUGUGGGCACAUUUGGGCACCCCUGCAGGGUUACAAUCUUAUCGAUAAGCCGCGUCCGCGGUUAUGGACGACUUGGAGCUGUAUGACUCGACCAUAGACAACUUACACCUGUUGUUUCAAUAAUAAUAACUUGCAUAGUAAGAUAGAACAACUCAAAUAAUAACUGGUUAAAACUUGACAACCGUGUGAGUGCAUUUGUAAGUACUUCUUUGCGAAGGGGGAACACGUCGGCUGUGUUAUGUUUGCAGAGUAUAGAACUGCUAGUUUAUGCGCUCUCUCAUCCUCUCUGAUUAGACGAAUGUUGUAGAGUGUCUCUAUAGGUUUUUAGUGCUUGCGCGCUGCCGCUUAACUCCACCAUAUUGCCUAUGACGUUCCUCUUGCGUCCUCUAAGUCCCCUGCGUGCCUCAAGUACAAAGGACGACUGGUUGACGAAUGCUUAUACGUCUUGAAGUCUUGUUAAGUACGAACCCGUACUUAUUGCUGCUUCUACGGGAUAUAACCGGGCAGGUAUGAAGAUAUGUUCGAUGAAGACGACGUUAGCAAGGUUACCCUUCCGGCUUGGCCUGGGCAGGGUUAUGGACGCCACUGGUUAUCUUCAGGACUCUUAGUCCAAAUUUGUAUCUUGUCCGUACUCGGAUGUAUUUGAUCUUCUGUAUGAUUUGGAUCUUUGUAUGUAUCUAUUUGUAUCUUGACUCGUUGGAGUCGUUGUUGUAAUAUAUGUAUCUUGUGGGCUCUAUCGUAAA
Molecule: non-coding RNA, 829 nt
Organism: Lolium perenne
Lineage: Eukaryota; Viridiplantae; Streptophyta; Magnoliopsida; Poales; Poaceae
Source: RefSeq, a predicted model, not a curated record